This 150-nucleotide non-coding RNA is filed under the name pig gut metagenome. The record is from RNAcentral.
AAGUUAGAAUUACUUAGUGUUCUUUCUGCACAUAAGCAAUACCUGAACACGAUGUUCAGGUAAGCCGCCACUGAGCCACGGAUGGCGAAUUGGCGGCGGUUGCGUAUUAUACUUACAGGUCAAUUAAGAACACUUAGUAAUUCUUACUUG